Molecule: small RNA, 26 nt
Filed under: Bombyx mori (domestic silkworm)
Lineage: Eukaryota; Metazoa; Arthropoda; Insecta; Lepidoptera; Bombycidae
Description: ovarian small RNA-23973
Source: RNAcentral
UAUGGUAUGCUGCUACGAAGCCACGC